RNAcentral lists this ribosomal RNA (627 nucleotides) under uncultured bacterium. Its description in RNAcentral is "bacterial SSU rRNA". It matches the Rfam family "Bacterial small subunit ribosomal RNA", at positions 85 to 747 of the family's 1533-position model. The record is from RNAcentral.
CCGCAGGGGAGUGGCAGACGGGUGAGUAACGCGUGGGAAUCUACCCAGAUCUUCGGAACAACUGAGGGAAACUUCAGCUAAUACCGGAUACGCCCUACGGGGGAAAGAUUUAUCGGUUCUGGAUGAGCCCGCGUUGGAUUAGCUAGUUGGUGAGGUAAUGGCUCACCAAGGCGACGAUCCAUAGCUGGUCUGAGAGGAUGAUCAGCCACACUGGGACUGAGACACGGCCCAGACUCCUACGGGAGGCAGCAGUGGGGAAUAUUGGACAAUGGGCGAAAGCCUGAUCCAGCCAUGCCGCGUGAGUGAUGAAGGCCUUAGGGUUGUAAAGCUCUUUCAGUGGGGAAGAUAAUGACGGUACCCACAGAAGAAGCCCCGGCUAACUUCGUGCCAGCAGCCGCGGUAAUACGAAGGGGGCUAGCGUUGUUCGGAUUUACUGGGCGUAAAGCGCACGUAGGCGGAUCGUUAAGUCGGGGGUGAAAUCCUGGAGCUCAACUCCAGAACUGCCUUCGAUACUGGCGAUCUUGAGUCCGGAAGAGGUGAGUGGAACUCCUAGUGUAGAGGUGGAAUUCGUAGAUAUUAGGAAGAACACCAGUGGCGAAGGCGGCUCACUGGUCCGGUACUGACGCU